This 729-nucleotide ribosomal RNA is filed under the name Bacillus altitudinis. RNAcentral's name for it is "bacterial SSU rRNA". It matches the Rfam family "Bacterial small subunit ribosomal RNA", at positions 49 to 762 of the family's 1533-position model. The record is from RNAcentral. Lineage: Bacteria; Bacillati; Bacillota; Bacilli; Caryophanales; Bacillaceae.
CUAUACAUGCAGUCGAGCGGACAGAAGGGAGCUUGCUCCCGGAUGUUAGCGGCGGACGGGUGAGUAACACGUGGGUAACCUGCCUGUAAGACUGGGAUAACUCCGGGAAACCGGAGCUAAUACCGGAUAGUUCCUUGAACCGCAUGGUUCAAGGAUGAAAGACGGUUUCGGCUGUCACUUACAGAUGGACCCGCGGCGCAUUAGCUAGUUGGUGAGGUAACGGCUCACCAAGGCGACGAUGCGUAGCCGACCUGAGAGGGUGAUCGGCCACACUGGGACUGAGACACGGCCCAGACUCCUACGGGAGGCAGCAGUAGGGAAUCUUCCGCAAUGGACGAAAGUCUGACGGAGCAACGCCGCGUGAGUGAUGAAGGUUUUCGGAUCGUAAAGCUCUGUUGUUAGGGAAGAACAAGUGCAAGAGUAACUGCUUGCACCUUGACGGUACCUAACCAGAAAGCCACGGCUAACUACGUGCCAGCAGCCGCGGUAAUACGUAGGUGGCAAGCGUUGUCCGGAAUUAUUGGGCGUAAAGGGCUCGCAGGCGGUUUCUUAAGUCUGAUGUGAAAGCCCCCGGCUCAACCGGGGAGGGUCAUUGGAAACUGGGAAACUUGAGUGCAGAAGAGGAGAGUGGAAUUCCACGUGUAGCGGUGAAAUGCGUAGAGAUGUGGAGGAACACCAGUGGCGAAGGCGACUCUCUGGUCUGUAACUGACGCUGAGGAGCGAAAGCGU